GUUAAAGCUAAAUAAAAAAAUUAAAAAAUAGUAAAAACAUGUUAUUUUGAUGCUGAAACACGUUAAUGGCUAAACUAUCGCGGAUGUAUAUUUUGAAACCCUAUACAGGCUCAGAACAGCACGGUUGUUUGUAAGAGGAAAGUUAUUAUACGCAUGCGCAGUGGAAUUACAUUUCUUGAAGGUUUUUUAAAAUGGCUACGGUAACAGGAUUAUAGAAACUAAUCAUUGACAACGAUAUUCCAACCAUAUUCGCGUUUCAACAAAGAUACUUACCUGUUGUAAAGAAGGGAAAAGUAAACUAAAGCAGAAAGACUUUUUCUUGGAACUCGAUAUAAAUAUUUUUUGUGUUUCGUGUUUAAAUUUUUUUUUUAAUGUUUUCAGCUUGAGAUUGUUAAAAUCAAUAUGAAUAUAUUUAAAAUAUUUUUUACUUAAAGAUUGAAAGAA
Long non-coding RNA from Hydra vulgaris (swiftwater hydra), 444 nucleotides. RefSeq lists it as uncharacterized. The record is from RefSeq and is a predicted model, not a curated record. Lineage: Eukaryota; Metazoa; Cnidaria; Hydrozoa; Anthoathecata; Hydridae.